AAGUCGUAACAAGGUUUCCGUAGGUGAACCUGCGGAAGGAUCAUUAUUGAAACAUUGUGAAGGAGGUUGAGCUGGCUCUUUACAGGGCAUGUGCUCACCUUCUUUCAAUUCCUUCAUCCACCUGUGCACAUCUUGUAGGGGAUUCGGAAACGGGUGUAACAGCCUGAAGUACAAGUCCUCUAUGUUUUUACAAACUCUAUUGUAUGUCUAUGAAUGUGAAUUAAUGGGACUUAAUUGACCCUUUAAAAACUAUACAACUUUCAGCAACGGAUCUCUUGGCUCUC
This 284-nucleotide unclassified non-coding RNA is filed under the name air metagenome. RNAcentral's name for it is "partial contains small subunit ribosomal RNA, internal transcribed spacer 1, and 5.8S ribosomal RNA". The stretch from base 1 to 46 matches the Rfam family "Eukaryotic small subunit ribosomal RNA", at positions 1786 to 1831 of the family's 1831-position model. The record is from RNAcentral.